This 468-nucleotide ribosomal RNA is filed under the name uncultured bacterium. RNAcentral describes it as "partial 16S ribosomal RNA". It matches the Rfam family "Bacterial small subunit ribosomal RNA", at positions 28 to 507 of the family's 1533-position model. The record is from RNAcentral.
GACGAACGCUGGCGGCGUGCUUAACACAUGCAAGUCGAACGGAAAGGCCCUGCUUUUGUGGGGUGCUCGAGUGGCGAACGGGUGAGUAACACGUGAGUAACCUGCCCUUGCCUUUGGGAUAACUUCAGGAAACUGGGGCUAAUACCGGAUAGGAGCUCCUUCUGCAUGGUGGGCGUUGGACAGUUUCGGCGGUUGGGGAUGGACUCGCGGCUUAUCAGCUUGUUGGUGGGGUAGUGGCUUACCAAGGGUUUGACGGGUAGACGGCCUGAGAGGGUUACCGGCCACAUUGGGACUGAGAUACGGCCCAGACUCCUACUGGAGGCAGCAGUGGGGAAUAUUGCACAAUGGGCGGAAGCCUGAUGCAGCAACGCCGCGUGCGGGAUGACGGCCUGCGGGUUGUAAACCGCUUUCGCCUGUGACGAAGCGUGAGUGACGGUAAUGGGUAAAGAAGCACCGGCUAACUACGUG